CGUGCCUAAUACAUGCAAGUCGAGCGGUAACAUUUCUAGCUUGCUAGAAGAUGACGAGCGGCGGACGGGUGAGUAACGCGUAGAAAUCUACCUAGUAGUGGGGGAUAGCCCAGAGAAAUUUGGAUUAAUACCGCAUACGCCCUACGGGGGAAAGCGGGGGAUCUUCGGACCUCGUGCUAUUAGAUGAGUCUGCGUCGGAUUAGCUUGUUGGUGAGGUAAUGGCUCACCAAGGCGACGAUCCGUAGCUGGUCUGAGAGGAUGACCAGCCACACUGGAACUGAGACACGGUCCAGACUCCUACGGGAGGCAGCAGUGGGGAAUAUUGCACAAUGGGCGCAAGCCUGAUGCAGCCAUGCCGCGUGUGUGAAGAAGGCCUUAGGGUUGUAAAGCACUUUCAGCAGUGAGGAAAGGGGUGUCGUUAAUAGCGCCAUCCUGUGACGUUAACUGCAGAAGAAGGACCGGCUAACUCCGUG
This 473-nucleotide ribosomal RNA is filed under the name uncultured bacterium. RNAcentral describes it as "bacterial SSU rRNA". It matches the Rfam family "Bacterial small subunit ribosomal RNA", at positions 43 to 507 of the family's 1533-position model. The record is from RNAcentral.